UACGUAGGUGGCAAGCGUUGUCCGGAUUUAUUGGGCGUAAAGGGAGCGCAGGCGGUGACUUAAGUCUGAUGUGAAAGCCCACGGCUCAACCGUGGAAGGUCAUUGGAAACUGGGUCACUUGAAUAUAGAAGAGGAAAGUGGAAUUCCAUGUGUAGCGGUGAAAUGCGUAGAUAUAUGGAGGAACACCAGUGGCGAAGGCGACUUUCUGGUCUAUUAUUGACGCUGAGGCUCGAAAGCAUGGGUAGCAAACAGGAUUAGAUACCCG
RNAcentral lists this ribosomal RNA (265 nucleotides) under uncultured prokaryote. RNAcentral's name for it is "partial 16S ribosomal RNA". It matches the Rfam family "Bacterial small subunit ribosomal RNA", at positions 524 to 788 of the family's 1533-position model. The record is from RNAcentral.